AACUCACGAUCGGUGCCGAUCGAUGCGUUUUCCUCUUCGCGCCUCUCUCGCGCUCCUCAUAUUCGAUCCGAUUCCAAGUCACUUUCCCUGGUCGAGCAAAAACACGCUCUCUUAGUCGGUAAUAGUCACAGGACUAUUAAUAAAGCCAACUUUUCGCGUACUGAGUCACAACUGGACGAAGAGGAUUCACCCCGUUCCAGUAAUUCGUACCUACGACGCAUUUGCGAUCUCGAUCACAUCUCGAACAAUGACAACGAAACCUUUUCUCUCGCUUGAAAAAAAAAAAAAAAAAAAAAAACCCCCGUACUAGGAACUCGAAAUUUCCCUCGGUACGGUAACGCGGGAAAGUUUGCCAACCGGGAAACUCGGAGGCAGCGAAUCGAUAACGAGCAACACGAUCGCGACGAGUCCGCCGCGUGUACGACAAUGAAACAACGUUCCGGAUUCGCUCGGUGAUCCCCUGGUACUACCUAUGCCACCACCGAGUAUCCACAUACUGACACAACGAUAGAACCGAAGACAGACAGACAGACGUACACGUUUACACGCGUGCGUCGUCCUCGUAUUAUACACCUUCACCGCGCGAGCGGUACGGACUGACAACAAACACACCGCAACAACGAUUACUAUUCUUCAGAAACACACGGUUUCUGCAUUCACCGGUCCGUGAAUCCGUAUAACCAACGCGGUACCAGCAUACUCGAAGACUGUACAGGGUGUUGAAAAGAUACAGGGUGUCGGUAUGGGUGCUGGAAUCCGGACGAAGGGUUGAAAGUGUUCCAUGGGGUGAUCCGAGUCGUACCUAGCGAUGGGAAAAAGAAAAAAAAUGUUGCUCAGUGAACUGCUGAUUGAAUCGCAAUCUUACCCUUAAUACUACCCCUCUCGGAGCACCCUAUAUGCGUCGCAGUUUACUCAGGUGAGAUUCACCGAUGUCCUCCUAAAUCGCAGCUGCGUACAAAAUUCAUUCUCACCUUGAAAUUAAGUAAAAGAGAACAUAUGCGACAAACAUAAGCCGUACAUUGUUAAACGUGUAAAGUAGCUUCUCGGUAAACGUCAUCAACCGAAGAACAAGGUUGUGCCACGUUACGAGGUUCACUCGGUUUUCUCAUAGUUACACACGUCCUCAAAUAGAACCGUUUUCUUUCACAUAGCAAAAUGAAUUCUAUAACGAUUCGUCGGUAGAGUGAGUACGUAGAAAGUGGAAAAACAUAUGUAUGUAUAUUAGAAAACAGAUUGAAAGAAUGUAAUAGAUUUUCAGUUCCUCUUACGUGCGUAACUUAGAAACUCGCGCGUUAAAGAUGGUAACGCGGCGAAGAAGAGAAGAGAGACAACUUUCACCGUACGAUUAUCCGCACCGUAACAAACGAUAAGAACGUAGUCUGAUAAUAGCUUGGCAAAGUGAAGUCACGUGUGGUGCGCAUAAUCGUCGGUUACAGAGGAGUAUUGUCGUGGAAACACGAGAAUACAACUUGGUACGGUAUUUUCCGUGGAAAACCGAUGACUCGUUGCCACGGUAGAAAUUUCGUGUGAAAUAAACCUUUAACUAUCGUACACGACACCAGUUUCGCGGUUCUAGAAUUUCAUGGUACGAAUGUGUUUCAACUCGUCCAAGAACGAUACCUUUCUGUCUUGACAUGUUUAUCGAUUUUAGGAUCGAAUUCGUGCUAUAGCUACACGUACCGGUCCUCGUCGACCUUUAUAUACAUCCGUUCCUACUUCCCGCCGUGUAAAAAUCCCCGAGAGGACCUUGAAAGGCCUCUCCCUAGCCUCGUCGUGCCGACUGGACAAGUUGGUACAUUUUCAUGCAAUGCCGCGUGUAUGCGAGAGACUUUUACACUAGCAAUUGUCUUUUUCAAUAGAAUUCUUUCAAUUCUUCUAUCUUUCUCAUCCGCCUUAAAAUCCUUAAUUGGUAUUAAAUCCUUAUCCGAAUAAAUGGUUUCUUGGGAGCUAUUUAAGUACCAUUUUAUCGCAUUGAUAAACUGCAAGAGAAUCUGCUUGGUAACGUUUAAAAAUUUGAUAAGAUAAUAAAGAAUAACAUUAAUUUUCAAAUAAUUAUCGAAUGACAAGUCCAUCGAGGUUCCCACAGGGCCCCCAUAAGACGAUUUUGCGUCUAAGAAUGCAACGAGAGUAAUGUUUACUUGAAUAUUAAUCAAAUCUAAAUUAGUUAUACAAGCUUUAAUGUUAAUUUUAUAAAUUUUAUUUGAGCUCUUUUUUUUAUGUCGUAUAUGUGAAGGGGCGCUUUUUCGGAGCUCGCCUCGGACCCCCGAAAUCUCAGGGCCGACCCUGGGUUCCCAUAAUCCAAAAAGGGGUUAAUCUAUCGUACUAGUAAACUCGUUAUAAUUCUUCAACGCAAAACAGAAAUAGUAAAAGUCGAUGAAUGGUGUAUAAAGUAUUCGACGAUGAUUAUUAUCGGUUCAGCCACCCCGAUAUUAUCUACAGACAUUCGCUCAUCUAGACAGAAAUAUAAUACAGUUGACCGCAAUUCACUGCGUAUUCCUGCCAACUAUUAUAAAUAUAUAUAUAGGUCUCCUCGAAAAUGUUAGAUGCAGUUGUCUAAUGAAAUCAUUGGAUUUCACGCAAUUUCUGUUCGAACGCGUUUCAACGAGACCGUUCGAUACGAAUAAUACAUUUCAAUUCCUAAUUUGCAGUCGUUUCACGGCAUGGAAAAAGUCUAUUUGCACAUGUACCGGUUCGUAUAAACGAGCACGUCUCCGAAGGACCGUUAAACACGGUGAAAAUUUUAUGAAGAAAGCACCUCCGACGAAUAAUGGAAAACAAGCAGUCUUUUAUUCGUACUGCAAGGAAGUCGACUAUGUGUCGUAGCCCGGCUGAUCAUGACGGCGCCAAACUACUUUUUCUGCCCAGACAGACCGCUACUACUUGUCCACAUAGUCGAUAACCGAUGCGGCUCAAAAUUGUAACCGAGAGAAAGGUCUUUCUAAAAAAAAAAAAGUGAAAGAAAAAGGUCAGCCUCGUACAAUCACCUAUCCCUCCGUUCAGAAGUAGAAACAAAUCAGAAGUAAGAAAAGAAGAUUAAGUGUUUCUUAGGAAUCAGCAACAGUUGUUGACAGACGUACCCACGCUCAUCGCGCGAAAUGAUAACGAACCCUAGAACCAACUGUAAUACCAUUGAACUGAAUAAAACAGAUAUAAUUUCAAUGACCUUUAACCCGUCACGAUAAACUAACGACUGAUCCUUUUAUUUUGACCAGAACUCACCUUGGCCAUCGUGUCGUGGGUGGGUCCUAAAGAUUGCUCCAAUCCGAUGAUCUCUGGUACCGAUUCCCGCUGAUACUGUUGCACUUCCUUGACAUAAGUCUCGUUCUGGAAAACGGCAAUAUAUGCGGUGGUCGCAUUACCAGUCGUUUUUUUACUUUUUUCCCACGCGACGCUCCUUUUCGAUCGCACCCGUGUACAACUUUCGUAGCGACACGUCGAUUGCUUGCGGAUGCCUUCACGCAGCGACGCUCCCGACGCCGGCGUCGCCGAGAACAACGUUUAUUGAUCGGCGCCGUGCGGAGGCGUCGUUACCCGUGGAAUGGAGAGAAGGGGGUGGAAUUGCCGGUGACGGAGAUAGUGCUCGAGGUGGCGGUGGUGCCGUCGUGGAGAUGGAAAUGACAACGGAGGCGCCACCGCCGAAAAAUCAUUCCGCAAAAUCUUCGCUGACUCCUCGAACUUUCUUUCUCCCUCUUUCUCUUUCCGGAAGUAGGGUAGAUAUAAUUCUGAGGGAACAAGGAAAAUGUAUACCUUUUAGUAUGGAUACGAUUACAGUAUUCCCUUGCAAACUGUCCUGAUGAGAUUUUUAUCUACUGUCCGCAGCCCUAUCCCCACCAUUGCGUGAAACAGCUUGCUCUAUCGUUGUCUACAAUCUAUAGCCGACGAUUAGGAUCAGCAACGCAUAUUUGAAAAUUUAAUUAAAUUGCUGAGAUUCAACUAUGACUAUGUUUCAAUGAUUUUUAAUUAGAUGAUAUUGAAUAAUAAUAUCGUGAACUUACCCUUUCUCUAUUUUAUUCUCUCGUCCUAAACACAUCCAGCUAAACGAACCGAAAAUUAGAUAAUAGUAAAUCUCUGUAAUAUCUAGCUGUCAACUGUCAUAGAGUCGAGUCCAGCUAGAGACAAUUAGCAAGGGAAUCCUGCUUGAUGAUCAGAAGAAGGAAAUAGAAGAUGGAGAAUGAGUGGAAAUACCGUGUCUUCGAUAUUCUCAAAAUGUUUAAAUUUCUUCGUAUAAUAAACAUACCUACGAUAAACAUAUUUGUCUAUAAUGAGAUUUGAAAUGUUCCUUAUGUAACUUCAAUGCGUCCGCAAGAAUAAACAUGUCGACCAUUUCAGAAUUUGCAUUGUAGUCUCAAUUGACUGAUGUAAACUUACCGAAUCCAUUUUUCAUUAUUUGUGUCUUCUAAACAUCUCGCACUUCACUUUAUAUCUCUUAUCUCUUCGAUACAUAUUUCUACACCUAUCAACACUACCGUGUCAACAUCAGGAAGGGAAAGUCAAGCGAAGAACGUCCGUGAAUAUUUUCAAACAUGUUUUUCAACUAAAACAGCGAAUCACCUGAAAUAUAUAUUCGUAAAUAAACCAAUAACUUUCGAGCAUGAAAUUAACCUAUAAUAGGCUCUUAUAAAAAUCGCGCCAUUUAAUUCACUAUUUGAAUUACAAUUUUACCUGUGUUACGUGAAUUUAGUUUUAAUUUUAAUUAUCAAUAUGAAAAUUUUGGGAAUAACGAGGACAUUAUAUAAAUUGAUAAUUAAAGUAAUAAAACUACGAUAUUUUCAUUGCACAUAGAUACACAGAUAGAAAUAUUUUUUUUUUAUUUAUACUUGAUAGCUGCACAACACAGUAAUUACCAGAAAUGCAGAUACAGUAGCACAAAUGAAGUUUCGUUUCGAAAGAUUGGCAGAGUAAAAGAGAAAUACACUUUACGAUAUACGCUAACAUGUACGAAGUCGUUUUCUUAAUGAAUUUCAUAAUCUUACAACGAUAGCAGAGUUGUACGAUAUCGUAAUAUUGACUGCUACAAGAGAUCUAUACCUGCUGUUUUAUCAUUCAUUGUAUUAUGAUAUCAUUUUAUAUAACACUAACGAGUAAACAUUAUCUUGAUGAAUAAAAAGAUGAAUACACUUAUGGACAUAUUUCACUGUAUCUGAUCCAAGUGUUCUGUUGACAAUCUUUACAAUUUCACAGGAAAAACUUGCAUUAUACGAUAUCGUACUUUUCAUCACGACAGACAACUGUGUCUCUUGUCAUUAUCAUCGUUUAGAACGAUAAUACAAUGAUAUUGACAUCUCAACAGACUCAAAGUAAAUAUUAUAAGAGAAAGCCCGCAGCUAUCGGUUCUAAACGAUACAUGUGGAAUGGAUUCUGCAGACGUACAUUCGAUUUUUUUUUUUUUUUU
Non-coding RNA from Osmia lignaria (orchard mason bee), 5392 nucleotides. Lineage: Eukaryota; Metazoa; Arthropoda; Insecta; Hymenoptera; Megachilidae. The record is from RefSeq and is a predicted model, not a curated record.